RNAcentral lists this ribosomal RNA (253 nucleotides) under uncultured bacterium. RNAcentral's name for it is "partial 16S ribosomal RNA". It matches the Rfam family "Bacterial small subunit ribosomal RNA", at positions 524 to 776 of the family's 1533-position model. The record is from RNAcentral.
UACAGAGGUCCCAAGCGUUGUUCGGAUUCAUUGGGCGUAAAGGGUGCGUAGGCGGCGCGGUAAGUCGGGUGUGAAAUCUCGGGGCUUAACUCCGAAACUGCAUUCGAUACUGCCGUGCUUGAGGACUGGAGAGGAGACUGGAAUUUACGGUGUAGCGGUGAAAUGCGUAGAUAUCGUAAGGAAGACCAGUGGCGAGGGCGGGUCUCUGGACAGUUCCUGACGCUGAGGCACGAAGGCCAGGGGAGCAAACGGG